Long non-coding RNA from Aedes albopictus (Asian tiger mosquito), 1192 nucleotides. RefSeq lists it as uncharacterized. The record is from RefSeq and is a predicted model, not a curated record. NCBI's taxonomy places the organism in Eukaryota, Metazoa, Arthropoda, Insecta, Diptera, Culicidae. The transcript is spliced from 2 exons.
GUAAUGUUCAAGCUCACAACCGAUCAAAAUUUAAAAUCUCUACCGUCAGCAUUGAAGCAUCCUAAUAGAAGGACUGCCUCUUUUCUCUUAGCCAUCAAAAUCAGGUCAAAAUUUCUCACACAAUACACUACCCCUCAGAGAAAAAACACAAAGUUUUGUACUAUAAAACUAGAGGCAAAACAGCAUUUAGACUCAUUAGUUUCCAGUCUUUGGAUCGAGCGAAAGCACCAGGGAGCAAACAACAAAAAUCGUGGACCGUUACCCAUAUAUCCCAGGCAAGCCAUCGAUUAGCAAGCAAGCAAGCGAGCAGCAGAGUGGAUGAUCGAUUCCCCGGGUAGACUUCAACCGAACGGCCCGCAAGCGUGGCUCGAGUGACUCGCCUCUUGCAAAUCCGUACGACCCGUAGUGCCAGGCCAGCCGACCUGAAGAAGUCGCAUUAGCUUGCUUGAUCGCAUGUUGCUUGACUGCCAAUUGCAAUUUUCAUUGCAACUACCCUGCCACGUCUACUAAAGAGUUUUUUCCUAUCGGCUCAAAUCUGUGCGCUUUGGUUCCAUCCAACAGACCGUAAGUGCAGUGUGUCGAAUUUCGACAAACAAGUCUAAAGUUUUUUUCCACAUGCAGAAACCGAUAGUACCACAGUAGAGUGCCUAAAAGCAGUAGCCGUAUAGAAAGUAUCACCGCGUGUGCCGAGGAAGAAGAAAAACCGAUCUCCCACGUGAGAUCGGUUUUUUGGUGAUACGGUUUCAUCGAGAGAUCAGCAGUGGUUGGCGCGCAAAAUUGGCGGGAAUCAGACUGCACCGACGUCGCAGCGGAUUGGAUGGAGCAGUGACCAAUAGCUAGCUAGAGUCGCGUGUGAUACAAGCCAGUUUCCGACGUCCAGUGAAACGGUUUUGGGACAAUAGAAUGUGCACAUGAAGAACAGUGAUCGAUCGAACUUUUGAACAGUACUGGCCAGUGCGUAUGAUAGGUAUAUUGUAGGAAGUUAGGCAUAAGCUGUAAUCUAGGGGUAAGUGAUUAAAAACCAUACUCUCGGCCGAGAUUCUGACAAGCGAAUAAAAUGUUGGUAGAUAAUAAAAGUUUUGAAUUCGUUUUCGCCAAAUUUAGUGUGUGAGAUUUGUUGAUUUGAGAAUUGUUCUUUUAGUUUUUAUUUUUAUUUUUAUACUGAAUUUCUUUUCUUUGGUGGUGGUAAAAU